Molecule: transfer-messenger RNA, 395 nt
Filed under: Candidatus Sericytochromatia
Lineage: Bacteria; Bacillati
Also listed under: 1 other name
Description: JACMQJ01 sp014377055 Standard tmRNA
Rfam family: transfer-messenger RNA
About the family: Bacterial tmRNA, also known as 10Sa RNA or SsrA, is named for its dual tRNA and mRNA-like properties. Its role is to liberate the mRNA from a stalled ribosome. To accomplish this part of the tmRNA is used as a reading frame that ends in a translation stop signal.
Source: RNAcentral
GGGGAUGUCACGGUUUCGACAUGGAAUUAGAUCGUUGAGAUGGCAGGCCGAGAGAGUCAAGGUUCUCGUAAAACUAUUGGCAAAACAAUAAAUGCAAAUACAAAAAAAUUGUUUGCUAUCCCUACUUUGAGAACUACUAAAGCACUUGCUUUAGCAGCUUAAUAGAGUAAAGGAUCUCAAAACUUCUUAUAUCUCGCGAGAGUUUUGAGUAUAAAAAACAGAGGUUGCUACUGAAGAAAAGCUAAAUGUCUUCAGUUUAAGAUCAGGUUUGGAUAGUGGGUAGAUUAUCCUGUGCAUGGGAGAAAUUACUUGCAAAAUUAAAUUAUGCACUAAGCUUGUAGAGGUCUUGGUAGUCAGCUUUAUGGACGCGAGUUCAAUUCUCGCCAUCUCCAUUU